AUACGGAGGGGGCAAGCGUUAUUCAGAAUUAUUGGGCGUAAAGGGCUCGUAGGCGGCCUAGCAAGUCAGUGGUGAAAUCCCUCGGCUCAACCGAGGAACUGCCUCUGAAACUGCAAGGCUAGAGGCCGGGAGAGGGUGGUGGAAUUCCCAGUGUAGCGGUGAAAUGCGUAGAUAUUGGGAGGAACACCAGUGGCGAAGGCGGCCACCUGGACCGGUUCUGACGCUGAGGAGCGAAAGCGUGGGGAGCAAACAGGAUUAGAAACCCCAGUAGUCC
This 274-nucleotide ribosomal RNA is filed under the name uncultured bacterium. RNAcentral describes it as "partial 16S ribosomal RNA". It matches the Rfam family "Bacterial small subunit ribosomal RNA", at positions 523 to 796 of the family's 1533-position model. The record is from RNAcentral.